CAACGGAUCUUCCUGCAGACGGUAAUGAGGACAGAGACGGUUCGGCAGGAGUUUCCAGAAGACGAAGGAACUGCCUGGUGGGUUCAACCAGAGGCCUUUCCUGUCUGCUUCAUUUCAUACUGCAUUGGACUGAGCAUUUUCAGAAGAUAACAAGGGAGAACCACUUUUAGGCUGUCAGCAUGGCACAUGUCCUAAAUAUGACACGUCUGAGAGCCUCAACUUCAUGUGGUCAACUUUCUCAUAAUAAACUGCUGCUGGAACAAGAACAACCUUAUUCGGGCCUUCAACAUACUAAAUCACAGGAGCAUUAUCAAAUAUAUAAUGUGAAUAAUCAAGAUAUUUGUUUUGGCAGAUAAUGAGCGUCUAAUCAAAGUCCUAGUUAAAAGUCUAUAGCUGAAGUAGGAAAGAGAAAUCAAAGGUUGAUGAGCUUUGUUCCUUCUAAUUUUUAUUUUAAGUGGGGUUCCAAGAUCCAUGUGCAACCUUGCUUUACAGAAGUCAAUACAGUGGCACAUUGGCUCUGUUGAUGGGGUGAUUGAUUUGCUCAGCUGGACAAAUCUAGAACACUGGACCUUAAGAUUACAGAUAGGCCAUUCAGGGUUGACGUCAGGAAGCAUCUCCCUAUAUAGAAGUGAAAAGGUUAGUUAUUUUAAAAAAAAACUCAGUCUGCUAAUGAUGAUAGAAUGAGGUAAAGGGAAUAUACAAACAUCCAUAGUUUGAGUAGAAGUAGGUAAUUUUUCCCCUGGAGCCUGCCUCAGCAUUUACAAAGAUCAUGACUGAUCUAAUUGUCCUCAACACCACUUUCCUGUUUACACCCACACCCUUUAAUGGCUUUGUCAGCCAGUAUGAAUUAAGAUGCCGUUCCUCAUUCUUGAAGUUCCUUUGGCUGUUUCAACCAAUCAGCCAGUAUCAAUUUUUAUUUGGAAUUGUACCCCCCCAGCUACCGUUUUGUUCAACUCACAUUCUUAGCUUCUGAGCUGGAGCCUCAGAUUCAACAGUUUAAUAUUUGAGGUUACAUACAGACUUUGAAUCGAUCUCACUCACACAACACUGAUCUCAUGUUCACAAAAAACCUGACCUUUUCCUGUCAUGACAAACUCUCUGCAAAUAUCCAAUGUUUUUCCUACAUUUUAGCCAAUUUUCUGUCCAUUCCCAGGAUUUAUUCUGAAUUUCUAUCCAAUUUACUUUAAACUAGUGCUUUAUCAAAUAUCUUUUUGAAUUAAGCCUAUAAUACCUCAACUUGUCUUAGUGUGGUAAGAAGCACUGCAACAAAAACUGUAAGGCUGUGCCAAAAUAACUUUGCAACUAGUGGGCUCUAAGGUGCAAAGUAAACAUUUAAGUACAAUGUUAGCACAUAUUUCUAAAAUAUAUCCUCUUUCUCAUCAUUCCAAAUUUCUUGAAUGCACGUCACAUCCAAACAUGAGAAAGGUGCAGUUAACAAAACCAUGCCCAACUCUCAAAUUCUGAUUUGCUCAUGAAUCUGUGGAUUGUAAAAGUAUAUCCCUAAUAUAUCAAAAGUGAAAAUAAGCAUUACAAGUUCUGCACUACCAUCCAAAUCAGCAGCGAAGACUUUAGAAUGCUUGGAGAAUCAGCAAACAAUUUCUUGAUAGGUAAACACUAACAUACCAUAUUUGGGUACAUUAAUUUUCCCCUAAAUUCAUAGGAAGGGAGAAUGUCCUUGUCUCAGCUGCUGAAGGAAAGAACAGUGAGAAUAAUAUUAACUAAAUUGGUUGCCUUUUACAGACUAGCCACCAGAAGGGAGAAUUUAAUCUGCCUUUAGCAGAAACAAUCAGAAAUUCAAACAAUUGAACAGAAUGGCAGGGAUUUCCUAAAUCUGACCUACUCGAGUUGACCACAUGCUGAGUCAGCAAAAUGGCAAUUGAUGGUAUCUGCAAAACUGUGAUUUCGUUAGAUCAUCUUGCUCCAUUGUGUAAAGAUAAGAUGUAGGAACAGAAGUAAACUAUUGAAUGAGAUCAUGGCUGAUCUGAUAAUCCUUAACUCCACUUUCCUGUCUCAUUGCUCUCACCCUCAAUUCACUCAUGGAUAAAAACUCUGUUUAUCUCAGCCGUGAAUAUACUUAACAACCCAAUCUUGACAGCCCUCUGUGGUAAAAAAAAAUCCACAGAUUCACUGCUGUCAAGAAAUUUCACCUUACCGCUGUCUUAAGUGGAAGACUGCUUAUGCCCUCUGGUCCAAGACUCUCCCACAAGAGGAAACAACCCCUUGACAUCUGCCCUGUCAAGCUUCAUGAAUCUUGAGUUUCAGUCUCCUUGUUCUCAACUCCAGUGAGUAUAAGUGCACCCUACCUAACCUCUCCUCAUAAGCUUGAUUACAAGUAUGGAGGGAUUUUCUCAUGGAACAUCCUCUGGUCUGCCUCCAAUGCCAGUAAUAUCUUUCCAUAGUAAGGGGACAAAACUCUUCAGAGUAUUCCAGGUUUGUUCAGACUAGUGCCUUGUAUAGUUUUAACAAGACCUCCUUGUUUUAACACUCCAUUCUCUUUAAAGACCAAAAACCCAUUUACCUUCCCACUUCCUGCUGAAUUCUUAUGUAUAAAUUUUCUGCAGACUUUGCUGAGGGAUAAGAUGACCCUGAAGCCAAGCUGGUAUUUGAGCUUAUUAGCAUUACAGCAAUGUAGUGAUCACAUUCCUGAAGUUUAAUUU
This is a long non-coding RNA of Chiloscyllium plagiosum (whitespotted bambooshark), 2657 nucleotides long. RefSeq lists it as uncharacterized. The record is from RefSeq and is a predicted model, not a curated record. NCBI's taxonomy places the organism in Eukaryota, Metazoa, Chordata, Chondrichthyes, Orectolobiformes, Hemiscylliidae.